AUGAAAUGUCACUCUGUUAUGGAGGUGUGAACUUGUAUGUUUGUGUAAUCUCAUUAAUGGUUUUGUUUUAUAUUGCAAAUAGAAAAGUGAGUGACAAAGUCAAGAGUUUAUGUUGCUUGCUUGAUUGAGAACUUCUCUUAUUUUCAGUUCUCACAAUAGUUAAUGGUUUAAGAAAUCAAGACCUUUAUGCAACUGAGAAUUCUUUUCGCGGUUUAUGCAUGGUUGGGUUGGGGGUUGUGGGGUGGGCUGAGGGACCACUAUCAGACAAGUUGAGCAUCUACAGAAGAGGUGCCUACUUCUAUUUGUA
This 307-nucleotide unclassified non-coding RNA is filed under the name Hevea brasiliensis (rubber tree). The record is from RNAcentral. Lineage: Eukaryota; Viridiplantae; Streptophyta; Magnoliopsida; Malpighiales; Euphorbiaceae.